RNAcentral lists this ribosomal RNA (484 nucleotides) under uncultured bacterium. RNAcentral describes it as "partial 16S ribosomal RNA". It matches the Rfam family "Bacterial small subunit ribosomal RNA", at positions 28 to 507 of the family's 1533-position model. The record is from RNAcentral.
AUUGAACGCUGGCGGCAUGCUUUACACAUGCAAGUCGAACGGCAGCGCGGGCUUCGGCCUGGCGGCGAGUGGCGCACGGGUGAGUAAUGCAUCGGAACGUGCCCAGUAGUGGGGGAUAGCCCGGCGAAAGCCGGAUUAAUACCGCAUACGACCUGAGGGUGAAAGCGGGGGACCGAAAGGCCUCGCGCUAUUGGAGCGGCCGAUGUCGGAUUUGCUAGUUGGUGGGGUAAAGGCUUACCAAGGCGACGAUCCGUAGGUGGUCUGAGAGGACGACCAGCCACACUGGGACUGAGACACGGCCCAGACUACUACGGGAGGCAGCAGUGGGGAAUUUUGGACAAUGGGGGCAACCCUGAUCCAGCCAUGCCGCGUGCGGGAAGAAGGCCUUCGGGUUGUAAACCGCUUUUGUUCGGGAAGAAAUCCUCUGGGCUAAUACCCCGGGGGGAUGACGGUACCGGAAGAAUAAGCACCGGCUAACUACGUG